AAUCAACGCUGGCGGCGUGCCUCAGACAUGCAAGUCGAACGAGAACCUCCCUUCGGGGAGGGGACAGUGGCGCACGGGUGAGUAACACGUGGGUAAUUUACCUUUGGGUGGGAACAACAGCCGGAAACGGCUGCUAAUACCGCAUAAUGCAGCGGCUCGACAUCGAGACAGUUGUUAAAGCGGGGGAUCGCAAGACCUCGCGCCUAAAGAGAAGCCCGCGGCGGAUUAGCUAGUGGUAGGGUAAUGGCCUACCAAGGCAACGAUCUGUAACCGGCCCGAGAGGGGCGGUCGGUCACACUGACACUGACAUACGGGUCAGACUCCUACGGGAGGCAGCAGUCGGGAAUUUAGGGCAAUGGGCGAAAGCCUGACCCAGCAACGCCGCGUGAAGGAUGAAGCUUUUCGGAGUGUAAACUUCA
RNAcentral lists this ribosomal RNA (419 nucleotides) under uncultured bacterium. RNAcentral describes it as "bacterial SSU rRNA". It matches the Rfam family "Bacterial small subunit ribosomal RNA", at positions 32 to 434 of the family's 1533-position model. The record is from RNAcentral.